Molecule: ribosomal RNA, 377 nt
Filed under: uncultured eukaryote
Lineage: Eukaryota
Description: partial 18S ribosomal RNA
Rfam family: Eukaryotic small subunit ribosomal RNA
Source: RNAcentral
CAAUAGCGUAUAUUUAAGUUGCUGCAGUUAAAAAGCUCGUAGUUGGAUUUCGGGUGGGAAUGGCCGGUCCGUCGUUUCGGUGUGCACUUGCUACGCCCACCUUGCUGCCGGGGACGUGCUCUUGAGUUCACGCUCGGGACACGGAGUCGGCGAGGUUACUUUGAGUAAAUUAGAGUGUUCAAAGCAGGCCUACGCUCUGAAUACAUUAGCAUGGAAUAACACGAUAGGACUCUGGCCUAUCUUGUUGGUCUGUAGGACCGGAGUAAUGAUUAAGAGGGACAGUCGGGGGCAUUCGUAUUUCAUUGUCAGAGGUGAAAUUCUUGGAUUUAUGAAAGACGAACUACUGCGAAAGCAUUUGCCAAGGAUGUUUUCAUUAA